GAAAUGCGAUAAGUAAUGUGAAUUGCAGAAUUCAGUGAAUCAUCGAAUCUUUGAACGCACAUUGCGCCCGCCAGCACUCUGGCGGGCAUGCCUGUUCGAGCGUCAUUUCAACCCUCAGAACCCCUUGCGGGAUCUGGCGUUGGGGAUUGGCAUCCAGCCAGCCCCGAAAUCUAGUGGCGGUCCCUCCGCGACCUCCCCUGUGCAGUAGCGAUACCUCUCAGCGGGACAGCGGUCUGACCACGCCGUAAAACCCCCAACUUCUCAAGGUUGACCUCGAAUCAGGUAGGAAUACCCGCUGAACUUAAGC
Molecule: unclassified non-coding RNA, 307 nt
Filed under: plant metagenome
Description: partial contains 5.8S ribosomal RNA, internal transcribed spacer 2, and large subunit ribosomal RNA
Rfam family: 5.8S ribosomal RNA (bases 1-105)
Source: RNAcentral